AAGGGUCGGCCCAGAGGACGGGGUCCGCGUCCCCAUCAGCUAGUUGGUGAGGUAAUGGCUCACCAAGGCGAAGACGGGUAGCUGGUCUGAGAGGAUGAUCAGCCACACUGGAACUGAGACACGGUCCAGACUCCUACGGGAGGCAGCAGUGGGGAAUAUUGCGCAAUGGGCGAAAGCCUGACGCAGCCACGCCGCGUGAGCGAUGAAGGUCUUCGGAUCGUAAAGCUCUGUGGGGGGAGAAGAAGAAAGUCGGUGAAGAGCCGGCCCUGACGGUAUCCCCUUAGCAAGCACCGGCUAACUCCGUGCCAGCAGCCGCGGUAAUACGGAGGGUGCAAACGUUGCUCGGAAUCAUUGGGCGUAAAGCGCGCGUAGGCGGCUGAACAAGUUGGAUGUGAAAGCCCUGGGCUCAACCUAGGAUGUGCAUUCAAAACUGUUCGGCUUGAGUCUCGGAGGGGGUCAGAGAAUUCUCGGUGUAGAGGUGAAAUUCGUAGAUAUCGGGAG
Molecule: ribosomal RNA, 501 nt
Filed under: uncultured bacterium
Lineage: Bacteria
Description: bacterial SSU rRNA
Rfam family: Bacterial small subunit ribosomal RNA
Source: RNAcentral